RNAcentral lists this transfer RNA (67 nucleotides) under Panulirus longipes. RNAcentral describes it as "tRNA-Ser". Lineage: Eukaryota; Metazoa; Arthropoda; Malacostraca; Decapoda; Palinuridae. The record is from RNAcentral.
GAUCAAUUAGUUUAUUUAAAACCAGCGUUUUGAAAACGCUUAAAAAGAGAUUUACUCUUAUUGAUCG